ACUAAAAUAGAUGCCAAAGAGGUGCAUAAAUUCAGCACAGCGUCUUCCCAAAUAUGCUUAAGGAGCCAAUAAUUCCCUCACGCUGUUCAUCCGCCGGUCUGGCAACGAACUUAAACAGAUCAAUGUGGUGUAAUGAGUCUCCGAUCUCCGUCAAUACUCAAUUAAUGAAAAGGAUGGAGAAAAUAUCAACAUGCCGCCAGCCAGCACCGCUCGGAAACUGUGAGUAACGAUUACUGAGGAAGCACUUUACAGCCGGAGAGAUCCCCAACAGAGCCGUGGACAGUGGACUCAUGGGAGGUUCGACCAUAAACAAAGAGAUUCUGUACAGAUUUACGGUUUAGGGAGUCCUGAGAGCAGAGCCGUCGAAAAGCUCGCCUCUCUCAAAUAGAAACCUAAUUUGUAGCCCUGAUGGGAGACUUUUAGAGGAUACGUUUUCUCUCCCUGUACAAAAGUAAAUGAAACUGCGUUGCACGAGG
Molecule: non-coding RNA, 476 nt
Organism: Misgurnus anguillicaudatus (oriental weatherfish)
Lineage: Eukaryota; Metazoa; Chordata; Actinopteri; Cypriniformes; Cobitidae
Source: RefSeq, a predicted model, not a curated record